Molecule: ribosomal RNA, 539 nt
Filed under: Campylobacter jejuni
Lineage: Bacteria; Pseudomonadati; Campylobacterota; Epsilonproteobacteria; Campylobacterales; Campylobacteraceae
Description: partial 23S ribosomal RNA
Rfam family: Bacterial large subunit ribosomal RNA
Source: RNAcentral
AAAGGUAAGCUACUAAGAGCGAAUGGUGGAUGCCUUGACUGGUAAAGGCGAUGAAGGACGUACUAGACUGCGAUAAGCUACGGGGAGCUGUCAAGAAGCUUUGAUCCGUAGAUUUCCGAAUGGGGCAACCCAAUGUAUAGAGAUAUACAUUACCUAUAUAGGAGCGAACGAGGGGAAUUGAAACAUCUUAGUACCCUCAGGAAAAGAAAUCAAUAGAGAUUGCGUCAGUAGCGGCGAGCGAAAGCGCAAGAGGGCAAACCCAGUGCUUGCACUGGGGGUUGUAGGACUGCAAUGUGCAAGAGCUGAGUUUAGCAGAACAUUCUGGAAAGUAUAACCAUAGAGGGUGAUAGUCCCGUAUGCGAAAAACAAACCUUAGCUAGCAGUAUCCUGAGUAGGGCGGGACACGAGGAAUCCUGUCUGAAUCCGGGUCGACCACGAUCCAACCCUAAAUACUAAUACCAGAUCGAUAGUGCACAAGUACCGUGAGGGAAAGGUGAAAAGAACUGAGGUGAUCAGAGUGAAAUAGAACCUGAAACCAU